GCCAUCGCUGGCCAUAGAAGUGAUCGGGCGAAGGUCCCGGACGUGCCAUAGAGGAAGCCUGCUGAUUUUGUCUUUUCUCACAUGCAACAAAAUGACCCCAUUUUACAGUGUAUUCUCCUGAGUUUGGGAAGUGCCAAACCAAAGAAUCAUCACCCCCAAAUAUGUUAAUGGGUAUGGAGAGGAUAUUAUUGACUUCCUCUUCUUCAAAAACAGACUUAUGAUUUGCCAAAUUCCAGGAAGUCGUUUGAUCAUCUAUAAGUUGUGAAACCCAAGCAACAGAAGGAUCUGCAUUACACUUGAUCUUUGGUUCAUUUGGAAACCAGAGGAUCGAGUUUACACGCACAAUGAUUAAAUUACUCAAGGCAAAGAUAAAGCAAAAGGAAAUUGCUGAGAACGCAAAUGGGAAGAUUCCAGUCAAGAAGCAAAAGUGCUGGGGGAACUAUUUCUUCAUAAAGGUUUAUUUGCCUUUGCAUUUUCAGAAUCACCCUCGCUAGUAGAUUGCAUAUCUUUUCUAUAUUAUAGGUCAAUUUUACUAAGGAGUGUGAAUUAAUUAGUUAUUGCUUUAACUUUAAUGGCCCAACAUUAUAUUUGAAGUGACUUCUGUUUGUUCAGCAAGAGCCUGCUUGAUUUCCUUGCUUGAACGGAAAUACUGAGAUGGAUGGGGUUGUUUAUAGACAUCUUUAUCUUUCUUUGUAGCUUCUUUUUUCCCCUUGACUGCCCAAGUUUCUGCUUUCAUUCACCAGAAUUUGCUGGUGUCUUUUCUUUUUGACUUUUCUUCCCAUGGACUUUUUGCUGGGUUUGAUUUCAUAACCUUGAUGUUUUAAAGUGAAGAAAAUUUAUAAGUUUUU
RNAcentral lists this unclassified non-coding RNA (848 nucleotides) under Hevea brasiliensis (rubber tree). Lineage: Eukaryota; Viridiplantae; Streptophyta; Magnoliopsida; Malpighiales; Euphorbiaceae. The record is from RNAcentral.